UAGGGAAUCUUCCACAAUGGACGCAAGUCUGAUGGAGCAACGCCGCGUGAGUGAAGAAGGUUUUCGGAUCGUAAAGCUCUGUUGUUGGUGAAGAAGGAUAGAGGCAGUAACUGGCCUUUAUUUGACGGUAAUCAACCAGAAAGUCACGGCUAACUACGUGCCAGCAGCCGCGGUAAUACGUAGGUGGCAAGCGUUGUCCGGAUUUAUUGGGCGUAAAGCGAGCGCAGGCGGAAGAAUAAGUCUGAUGUGAAAGCCCUCGGCUUAACCGAGGAAUUGCAUCGGAAACUGUUUUCUUGAGUGCAGAAGAGGAGAGUAGAACUCCAUGUGUAGCGGUGGAAUGCGUAGAUAUAUGGAAGAAUACCAGUGGCGAAGGCGGCUCUCUGGUCUGCAACUGACGCUGAGGCUCGAAAGCAUGGUAGCGAACAGGAUUAGAUACCCUGGUAGUCCAUGCCGUAAACGAUGAGUGCUAAGUGUUGGGAGGCUUCCGCCUCUCAGUGCUGCAGCUAACGCAUUAAGCACUCCGCCUGGGGAGUACGACCGCAAGGUUGAA
RNAcentral lists this ribosomal RNA (550 nucleotides) under uncultured bacterium. RNAcentral's name for it is "partial 16S ribosomal RNA". It matches the Rfam family "Bacterial small subunit ribosomal RNA", at positions 355 to 898 of the family's 1533-position model. The record is from RNAcentral.